UACGUAGGGUGCAAGCGUUAAUCGGAAUUACUGGGCGUAAAGGGUGCGUAGGCGGCGCGGUAAGUCGGGUGUGAAAUCUUGGAGCUUAACUCCGAAACUGCAUUCGAUACUGCCGUGCUUGAGGACUGGAGAGGAGACUGGAAUUUACGGUGUAGCGGUGAAAUGCGUAGAUAUCGUAAGGAAGACCAGUGGCGAAGGCGGGUCUCUGGACAGUUCCUGACGCUGAGGCACGAAGGCCAGGGGAGCAAACGGG
This 253-nucleotide ribosomal RNA is filed under the name uncultured bacterium. RNAcentral's name for it is "partial 16S ribosomal RNA". It matches the Rfam family "Bacterial small subunit ribosomal RNA", at positions 524 to 776 of the family's 1533-position model. The record is from RNAcentral.